GAGGCGGCGGCGCGGUCCCUGGGCCCCAGAGGGGAGGAGGCGACGUGGUCUCUGGGCCCCGGGGGUGUGUGUGUGUGUGUGUGCACUCCCCAGGCUGGGAGGCUACUGAGCAUUUGGGAGCAGGCGCCUGGCUUCUCCCCUCUCAGCGUGUGGACGGGGAGUGAGCUCUACGAGCCAGCCCUGCAGGGGGUCCCUACACAAGCCAAAGCUUUCAGCUCAGGGAGCUGGCUAGCCCCAGUGACACACGGGCGUGGGAUCAGAGGCCCCCCUGCUGAAGGGGCUGCUCAGCCGAGGCCCAGCCCCGAGCCCGAAUAAUUCAGUGUCACUCCACAGCGUCACGGGCAGCCUGGCUUGCUCCCGUCUGUCCUGAACAAGGGUUACGGUGACAUCCAUGGAUUGCCGAGUGUCUGUGGGGUGAGGUGGGCAGCGCCCAAUGUCCCCAGGCACGUCUCCUGCCCCCCACCCCCCUGACCAGAUGGGCCCCACGAACCCCGCCCUGGGCGAACCAGCCCCAGCGCCCCGGGCUACGUACCCAUGGUGGUUCCCACAGCCUCCUGCUAGAGAGCGUGUUGGCAGGCUCCAGCGCGGAGCAGGGAGAAGCGACUCGUGGAGCUGGGAGGGGAAUGCCAGUUAUGACAAGCCUGGCGUGGGGGCCGGGCUGCGGGAGGCAAACAGGCGAGGCCGGUUCUGAUAAGUGCAGGUGACGGGGCUUUUUACAGCCUGGAGGAGCCGGGGCCGCGGGAACUGGGAGAAAGGCAGCAGCACGGCAGGACUGGCUCUGCCAGAGCUGCAGGCCAGGCAGCAGGAGCAGGGCCUUGCCCCACUCCCCAGGGUCCCAGCCCAGGCAGAAGCCUCCAGCAUGCAGGACGGGCUAAGGGGGCUGUGCCCCGGCCCCAGGAAGGAAGCCCAGACACCACAGCAAGAAGGCGAGGGACGGGGCUCCCAGCCAGGCCAGGCAGGUGCCUCGGCCUGAUGAUUCGGAAUUGACCCGGCUUUUGCAAGUGACCCGUGCUGCUGUCUCAGGGGACACGGCCCAUUGGCUGCAGGUUGAAACUACAGAGUUUGUGCCUUCACGCUGCUCUUCAGCAACUCUGCAUUACUCAGGUUGAGUCCUCUCCCCCACUGGCUGCAUACACGUGGAUCAGUCAGCAGUUUUUAAAGCCUCCAUUUCCAACAAGUAACAUCAAUUGCUCUAUGAUUCUACCCUGUUGCUGCACACAGCAUUUACUACGUUUGGCUUCCCCUCUCCACUUGGAAGGCAAAGGUCUGGUGCAAGGGGCGGCCCCGUACUCAGCAUGAGAAACAAACUGGAGUUACACCUACGGCUUAUUUUAUUGUAUUUUUAUUUGCAUGAGGAGUUGAAACAAACUUUAGGGGUUUACUAAACAGGAACUGUUCAUGUCAAACAAACUAUAGUUAGCAGGUGAUGGGGGAAGGGGGGCACAGCAAUCCUGGGGAAGGCAGAGAUGGAGGGGGGAAGCGGCUGAUGUCUUUUUACAUGUGCACACACUAAACCUGUGCAUGAAUAGGCCUCUCCUCCCUACACACUCACUGACCACAGAGUUAUUUGCUAAACCUCUUCAGAACAUUGUAAAUGUCAAGCUGAAGGUAAAUGAAACCACAACUUUCCUUAGCCAGCACAGGAGGAAUUUGCUUUUUUGUUUUAGAAAAAGAUUAAUAAAAA
Molecule: non-coding RNA, 1684 nt
Organism: Chrysemys picta bellii (western painted turtle)
Lineage: Eukaryota; Metazoa; Chordata; Testudines; Emydidae
Source: RefSeq, a predicted model, not a curated record